AGCAGACUUAUUUCCACAGUGCAACCCUACCAUCUUAUACCACAAAUUCCCAAAUCACCUCAGCAAAGCAGAUUUCAGACUGAAGACUGUCUAUGCUCAGCCAGUUUUAAAAUAAACUUCUGAUUACUAAAUUCUUCCCAGUUAUCAGCUUCCUGGAUGGCCUGGUUCCCUGACAUGUUUCUCUGGUUUUCUUUUUAGAUACCAAAAAAGCUCAUCUAAUCUACUCAAGUAUCACUGUGUACUCUGUUUCAAGAUGCAAAUGAAGUGGGGAUUUUCCUAUGCUGGACAGAGUGUACAGUUACCUGGCCAUGAGGUCUUGGGUCAUUGCUGAAGGGAGAUUCAUGAGGAUGCCAGAAUUAUUCUACUGAACAGACCAUGAGCUACUUGGAGACAGAAAUGGAGAAGAUACAGUCUCUGGUCUCAGUAUGGAUGUGUAAGCAGGUGAAAUACGUUAUGACAUUUCCCUGUCUAAUUCUUUGCUGGAGUUCACAAGAAUCUGCAUACUUUGGCCUGUGGCUCGGGACUUCAGAUCCAUGUCUAUAAGACCUGGUGAGCCAGCCAGAAGAAAGAGGUAAACACAGAAUGCUUCUCAAGAUUCCUGUCUCUCUUGUCAAAAGUGGCCAAGUGUUCUUACCUAGAACAACUGAAAAUGAUGGGCAGAUUUCCAUGGGAGACUGAGGCCGGCCUUGA
This is a long non-coding RNA of Rattus rattus (black rat), 690 nucleotides long. RefSeq lists it as uncharacterized. The record is from RefSeq and is a predicted model, not a curated record. NCBI's taxonomy places the organism in Eukaryota, Metazoa, Chordata, Mammalia, Rodentia, Muridae. The transcript has 3 exons.